Molecule: ribosomal RNA, 497 nt
Filed under: uncultured bacterium
Lineage: Bacteria
Description: partial 16S ribosomal RNA
Rfam family: Bacterial small subunit ribosomal RNA
Source: RNAcentral
GACGAACGCUGGCGGCGUGCCUAAUACAUGCAAGUAGAACGCUGAAGAGAGGAGCUUGCUCUUCUUGGAUGAGUUGCGAACGGGUGAGUAACGCGUAGGUAACCUGCCUGGUAGCGGGGGAUAACUAUUGGAAACGAUAGCUAAUACCGCAUAAAAUUGAUUAUUGCAUGAUAAUUAAUUGAAAGAUGCAACUGCAUCACUACCAGAUGGACCUGCGUUGUAUUAGCUAGUUGGUGAGGUAACGGCUCACCAAGGCGACGAUACAUAGCCGACCUGAGAGGGUGAUCGGCCACACUGGGACUGGGACACGGCCCAGACUCCUACGGGAGGCAGCAGUAGGGAAUCUUCGGCAAUGGGGGGAACCCUGACCGAGCAACGCCGCGUGAGUGAAGAAGGGUUUCGGAUCGUAAAGCUCUGUUGUAAGAGAAGAACGGGUGUGAGAGUGGAAAGUUCACACUGUGACGGUAUCUUACCAGAAAGGGACGGCUAACUACGUG